GAUGAACGCUGGCGGCGUGCUUAACACAUGCAAGUCGAGCGAACGGACGAGAAGUUUGCUUCUCUGAUGUUAGCGGCGGACGGGUGUGUAACACGUGGAUAACCUACCUAUAAGACUGGUAUAACUUCGGGAAACCGGCGCUAAUACCGGAUAAUCUUUUGAACCGCAUGGUUCAAAAGUGAAAGACGGUCUUGCUGUCACUUAUAGAUGGAUCCGCGCUGCAUUAGCUAGUUGGUAAGGUAACGGCUUACCAAGGCAACGAUGCAUAGCCGACCUGAGAGGGUGAUCGGCCACACGGGAACUGAGACACGGACCAGACUCCUACGGGAGGCAGCAGUAGGGAAUCUUCCGCAAUGGGCGAAAGCCUGACGGAGCAACGCCGCGUGGGUGAUGAAGGUCUUCGGAUCGUAAAACUCUGUUAUUAGGGAAGAACAGAUGUGUAAGUAACUGUGGACAUCUUGACGGUACCUAAUCAAAAAGCCACGGCUAACUACGUG
Molecule: ribosomal RNA, 497 nt
Filed under: uncultured bacterium
Lineage: Bacteria
Description: partial 16S ribosomal RNA
Rfam family: Bacterial small subunit ribosomal RNA
Source: RNAcentral